Molecule: long non-coding RNA, 882 nt
Filed under: Gallus gallus (chicken)
Lineage: Eukaryota; Metazoa; Chordata; Aves; Galliformes; Phasianidae
Description: lncRNA (ENSGALG00010012475.1)
Source: RNAcentral
CAAGGAAGCAGGCUGGAAGCAGGGACACGUGGCUCUAGGGCUGGAUGGGUCAAGACCAGCCCUGCUGGAGAUGGGACAAAGUGCCCCAUGGCUCAUGGCAUGAGAUCAGCCUCCGUGCCUCGCCUGUGGCCACACGCACUGAUGGCAGAGCAGAGACAGAAACCUGGAUCCAGAAGUCCAGAGGGCUGAGAUGUGGCCAGCUUUUGAGGCUUUGGAGAAGGCAGUCUUGUUUUAACUCAGCUUGUGAUUUCAGGGCAUGUUCAAGAAGCGGUUUGCAAAUCCAGAGUGGCUUCUAACAGCACCCCGGGCCUUUGAUCUCUGACUCUUGCAGAGAAGAACUUCAGAACCUGUGAAAGCUGAGAGAAACCACCCCUGUCGCUACCUGGUGCUCACCAGCUUCACCAGCAGAGUUGCCCCAGGAGCUUGGUGAUGAAAAAUAAAAAAGAAAACCAACAAAACAGGAAGGAAAACAGUGAAAACUCUGAUGCUCCUUGGGGAAUAUGAAGAGACACAGAUUUCAUUUAAGAUAACAAAAAAAAAAAAAAAAAGAGAAGAAAUAAAAACAAAAACACCACCACCACCAACAGAAAGCAGCAGAAGUACCAAGAGUCGGAUGGGUGAAUGCUGCUCUUCAGAGCAGUCCCUGCAAUGGGGACUCCCCAGCCGUGAGGUCCCCAGCUCCCGCAGCAGCUCGGCAGCUCCCUCCCCUCCUCCACUUCUGCACUACGAUUCAUAUGGUGACUGCUGCAGUAAAAUCAGGAGCAAUGAAGACUAUAUAUAAAAGGGCUGGAGUAAAGGCAAGUGGCACCUCAAUUCUACUUCUGAGUAAGCCUUUUGUUUUUAGCAAAACAGGCACAUCAGUGCUGCUCCAGCCAGCCACAG